CCUACGGGAGGCAGCAGUGGGGAAUCUUGCGCAAUGGGCGAAAGCCUGACGCAGCCAUGCCGCGUGUAUGAUGAAGGUCUUAGGAUUGUAAAAUACUUUCACCGGUGAAGAUAAUGACUGUAGCCGGAGAAGAAGCCCCGGCUAACUUCGUGCCAGCAGCCGCGGUAAUACGAAGGGGGCUAGCGUUGCUCGGAAUUACUGGGCGUAAAGGGAGCGUAGGCGGACAUUUAAGUCAGAGGUGAAAUCCCGGAGCUUAACUUCGGAACUGCCUUUGAUACUGGGUGUCUUGAGUGUGAGAGAGGUAUGUGGAACUCCGAGUGUAGAGGUGAAAUUCGUAGAUAUUCGGAAGAACACCAGUGGCGAAGGCGACAUACUGGCUCAUUACUGACGCUGAGGCUCGAAAGCGUGGGGAGCAAACAGGAUUAGAUACCCUGGUAGUCCACGCCGUAAACGAUGAUUGCUAGUUGUCGGGAAGCUUGCUUCUCGGUGACGCAGCUAACGCAUUAAGCAAUCCGCCUGGGGAGUACGGUCGCAAGAUUAAAACUCAAAGGAAUUGACGG
Molecule: ribosomal RNA, 560 nt
Filed under: uncultured bacterium
Lineage: Bacteria
Description: bacterial SSU rRNA
Rfam family: Bacterial small subunit ribosomal RNA
Source: RNAcentral